CACGCAGGAAGCAAUCCUGCACGGGUCCUGGUGUAAGGCGGCAGCUUCCCGGCCACGCUGCCUUCUCCGGGGCCUCGAUUUACCGGCCACGCCGGAGAGUCCGCUGAGCCCAAGACUGACAGGUCCCGCCCGGGGCCGUCACUGGGCCCUCGUCCCAUCCUCUUCCAGGGGCUCGCCAGCCUACAAAAGCCCCACCGGCCCCCUGUCGCACCCCCCCAAGCGGAGACUGGGCUUCCUGUCUUUUUGCCAUGCACUUGUUGCAGAAGCAGCCAAGGCCCCGGCUCCGGAGGAUGCAGAAGGAGGAAGGCACCAGAGUAGCCCGGCCCUGAACGCACCACCCUCACCUCCUGCAACAGGUAUCGAACUCGGGACCUUGCACUUGGGAGACAGGCACCGGAACCACUGAGCUAAAUCCCUGGCCCUCUCAGGCCUCUUUUAUAAGGACAUUAACCCUGCCUCUUCAUUACCACCUGAAGGCCCCAUCCUGGUAGCAUGGCCUUCCGGGUUAGAAUUUCAGUGUGUACAUUUCAGACCAGGGAUGCUCUUGUUUCCCAUUUAUCAGUUUGGAUUCUUUGAGGCAUGAAAGCAGAACAGCAAACCCAAAGGCUCUCAGAGAACACAGGGGGUUAGUGAGCUCAUGUAGCCAUGGGGUGCAGGGAUAAGGUGGGCUGCAGGGAGAAGAUGAUCCAGCAGCUGAACAGUACCCUAAAUCAUCCAGUUUCUUUCCAUCUCUCCUCCACUUCCACUUUCC
This 751-nucleotide long non-coding RNA is filed under the name Heterocephalus glaber (naked mole-rat). Its description in RNAcentral is "lncRNA (ENSHGLG00000039708.1)". Lineage: Eukaryota; Metazoa; Chordata; Mammalia; Rodentia; Bathyergidae. The record is from RNAcentral.